Molecule: ribosomal RNA, 483 nt
Filed under: uncultured bacterium
Lineage: Bacteria
Description: partial 16S ribosomal RNA
Rfam family: Bacterial small subunit ribosomal RNA
Source: RNAcentral
GACGAACGCUGGUGGCGUGCUUAACACAUGCAAGUCGAACGAUGAAGCUGGAGCUUGCUCCGGUGGAUUAGUGGCGAACGGGUGAGUAACACGUGAGCAAUCUGCCCUUCACUCUGGGAUAACUGCGGGAAACUGUAGCUAAUACCGGAUACGAGACCUUGGGGCAUCCCAGGGUCUGGAAAGAAUUUCGGUGAAGGAUGAGCUCGCGGCCUAUCAGCUAGUUGGUGAGGUAAUGGCUCACCAAGGCGACGACGGGUAGCCGACCUGAGAGGGUGACCGGCCACACUGGGACUGAGACACGGCCCAGACUCCUACGGGAGGCAGCAGUGGGGAAUAUUGCACAAUGGGCGAAAGCCUGAUGCAGCAACGCCGCGUGAGGGAUGAAGGCCUUCGGGUUGUAAGCCUCUUUUAGUAGGGAAGAAGCGCAAGUGACGGUACCUACAGAAAAAGCACCGGCUAACUACGUGCCAGCCGCCGCCGUAA